Molecule: ribosomal RNA, 459 nt
Filed under: uncultured bacterium
Lineage: Bacteria
Description: partial 16S ribosomal RNA
Rfam family: Bacterial small subunit ribosomal RNA
Source: RNAcentral
CCUACGGGUGACAGCAGUGAGGAAUAUUGGUCAAUGGGCGGAAGCCUGAACCAGCCAAGUAGCGUGCGGGAUGAAGGCCCUACGGGUCGUAAACCGCUUUUGCACGGGGAUAACACCCUCCACUUGUGGAGGUCUGCAGGUACCGUUCGAAUAAGGGCCGGCUAAUUCCGUGCCAGCAGCCGCGGUAAUACGGAAGGCCCGAGCGUUAUCCGGAUUAAUUGGGCUUAAAGGGAGCGUAGGCGGGCGUUCAAGUCAGCUGUAAAAUCGUGCCGUUCAACCGCGCCCCGCAGUUGAAACUGGAAGCGUUGAGUUCACAACAGGCAGGCGGAAUUCGUAUUGUAGCGGUCACAUGCAUAUCUAUCACGAGGCACCCCGAUUGCGAAGGCAGCCUGCCGGGGUGCGACUGACGCUGAGGCUCGAAGGUGCGGGUAUCAAACAGGAUUAGAUACCCCGGUAGUC